CCUACGGGAGGCAGCAGUGGGGAAUAUUGCACAAUGGGGGAAACCCUGAUGCAGCGACGCCGCGUGAGUGAAGAAGUAAUUCGUUACGUAAAGCUCUAUCAGCAGGGAAGAAAUACUGACCUUACGGCCAGCAGACGGUACCUGAGUAAGAAGCACCGGCUAACUACGUGCCAGCAGCCGCGGUAAUACGUAGGGGGCAAGCGUUAUCCGGAUUUACUGGGUGUAAAGGGAGCGUAGACGGUGCGCCAAGUCUGGAGUGAAAUGCCGCAGCUUAACUGCGGAACUGCUUUGGAAACUGGCGAACUAGAGUGCGGGAGGGGUAAGCGGAAUUCCUAGUGGAGCGGUGAAAUGCGUAGAUAUUAGGAGGAACACCGGUGGCGAAGGCGGCUUACUGGACCGUAACUGACGUUGAGGCUCGAAAGCGUGGGGAGCAAACAGGAUUAGAUACCCUUGUAGUC
This 458-nucleotide ribosomal RNA is filed under the name uncultured bacterium. RNAcentral describes it as "partial 16S ribosomal RNA". It matches the Rfam family "Bacterial small subunit ribosomal RNA", at positions 338 to 795 of the family's 1533-position model. The record is from RNAcentral.